AUGGGAUCGUCGAGGAGGUCGCGGCUCGCCCGGAGAGCGGCACCAGCGUCGAGGAUCAGGUAUGGCACGCUGUCCAUGUUGCUGCCUUUUCGCCGCGCGUGCGCUCUUUCGCCUUGCGCGCGACCUGGGCGUGCCCUGGUGCGCGCUCCGGGCCGACUGACGUUCUUUCUCGGCGUAGUUGUUGCGCAUGUUCGCCAUGUUCCGCGACGACAACAGCGACGCGACUUCAAGUACCUCCACGUCUUCAAGCGGAUCGACAAGUGCGAAAAAUGGGAGGCCGUCCAACGCACCCUCGCCAAGGCCAAAGAGACGUGCAAGCCGGACGCGCCGACAGUGGGCGCGGCCGAUGGACGCCCGGACGGCAACAAAGGUGCCAAGAAGGCGAAAUACACCGAGACAGCUGCCGUGCGCGUGCAAGUGUCCAUCGAGCACUGCAUCGCCGACGCCACAACCAGGGCUGCCGAGCGAGAGGAGAAAACAUAG
RNAcentral lists this ribosomal RNA (483 nucleotides) under Triticum aestivum (bread wheat). RNAcentral describes it as "partial small subunit ribosomal RNA". Lineage: Eukaryota; Viridiplantae; Streptophyta; Magnoliopsida; Poales; Poaceae. The record is from RNAcentral.